UCAGAGUAAGAUGGACGGUAGCUUUCUGUGAUUGUGGUGAGCUGGAGCCACCUGAUCACUAAGAAGAGACACCUACCUGUCAGCCAGCAUCACCAGGGCUUCCUGUUGAAACACAGCGACAAGGAAGCGAGGAAGCAGAGGGAACUAGUGCUUCCCAGCACCUUAGGAUGUUCCUCAGGACCUACACUGAAUGUAUCUGCACUGUGAGAAGAUGUCCACAGAGGCCUGCCGGGCACGUAUUUAUUCACAGUUUUGUCCCAUGUUAAGUCCGUUAGCAUAGUAAACCCGAGUGCAUAGUAUGUCAUUUCAUUCCGUUUGAGUUUCUUGAGUGUUUUCUUUAAAUGUCUGCAGAGUUGCUGCCCUUCCUUGAACUAUGAGCACUGCAAUCUUCUUAAUUCUCAGUAUAAAUAGAGAUUUUUGAGCUUUAAGUCUGAGGGGAACUCAGCGGGCCCGGUUGGGGUCUGCAAUGAACAUCAAGAAACCAUCGUGCUGUGGGAGCGUGAUUAUUUUUCUCCCUUUUUGAGAGAUCUUUCCUUUUGAUGCCAGUUUUCUUCCUUGUUUACACAAGUUCGACAAUUUAAAAGGAAAAGGCAAUUGUAAGGGUUUCAAAAUUGCAGAGAAAUUUGAAAGUCUCAUGAACAUUCAUGGCUUUGAUCUGAUCUCUAGGCACAUGGACUUAAAACCAUUGGGCUGCGGAGGCAAUGGCUUAGUCUUUUCUGCUGUAGACAAUGAUUGUGACAAAAGAGUAGCCAUCAAGAAAAUUGUCCUCACUGAUCCCCAGAGUGUCAAACAUGCUCUCCGUGAAAUUAAAAUUAUUAGAAGACUUGACCACGAUAACAUUGUAAAAGUGUUAGAAAUUCUUGGUUCCAGUGGAAGCCAGCUGACAGACGACAUGGGCUCUCUCACGGAGCUAAAUAGCGUCUACAUUGUUCAGGAGUAUAUGGAGACAGACUUGGCGAAUGUGCUGGAACUGGGCCCUUUACUGGAAGAGCAUGCCAGGCUUUUCAUGUAUCAGCUGCUACAUGGGCUCAAAUACAUCCAUUCUGCAAAUGUACUGCACAGAGAUCUCAAGCCAACUAAUCUUUUCAUUAACACUGAAGACUUGGUGCUGAAGAUAGGUGACUUUGGCCUGGCACAGAUCAUGGGUCCUCAUUAUUCCCAUAAGGGUCAUCUUUCUGAAGGAUUGGUUACCAAAUGGUACAGAUCUCCACGGCUUUUACUUUCUCCUAAUAAUUACACUAAAGCCAUUGACAUGUGGGCUGCAGGCUGCAUCUUUGCUGAAAUGCUGACUGGUAAAGCCCUCUUUGCAGGUGCACAUGAACUUGAACAGAUGCAGCUGAUCUUAGAGUCUACCCCUGUGGUGCAUGAGGAGGAUCGGCAGGAGCUUCUCAGCGUGAUUCCAGUUUACAUUAGAAACGACAUGACUGAGCCACACAAACCGCUAACUCAGCUGCUUCCGGGGAUUAGUCAGUCGUGAAGCACUGGAUUUCCAGGAACAGAUUCUGACCUUCAGCCCCAUGGACCAGCUGACAGCCGAGGAAGCACUUUGCCAUCCCUACAUGAGCAUCUACUCCUUCCCAAUGGAUGAACCGAUUUCAAGCCAUCCUUUCCACAUAGAAGACGAAGUGGACGACAUUUUGCUUAUGGAUGAAACACAUAGUCACAUUUAUAACUAGGAAAGGUACCACGACUGUCAGUUCUCAGAGCAUGACUGGCCUAUUCAUAACAACUUUGAUAUUGAUGAGGUUCAGCUUGACCCCAGAGUUCUGUCUGAUGUCACCAAUGAAGAAGUUCAAGUUGAUCCUCGAAAGUACUUGGACGGAGACCGAGAGAAGUAUCUGGAAGAUCCCGCCUUCCACCCCAGCUACUCUGCUGAGCCUUGCUGGCGGUACUCAGAUCACCAGGAGAACAAGUACUGUGAUCUGGAAUGUAGCCAUACCUGUAACUACAAAACAAGCUCAUCGUCAUACUUAGAUAACCUGGUGUGGAGGGAGAGUGAGGUUAACCAUUACUAUGAGCCCAAGCUUAUUAUAGAUCUUUCCAACUGGAAAGAACAAUGUAAAGAAAAAUCCGAUAAGAGAGGCAAGUCCAAGUGUGAGAGGAACGGGUUGGUUAAGGCGCAGAUCGCACUAGAGGAAGCGUCCCAGCAGCUGGCUGAGAGGGAGAGGGGCCAAGGCUUCGACUCCUUCAUCGCAGGGACCAUCCAGCUCAGUGCCCAGCACGAGUCUGCUGAUGUACUUGACAAGUUAAACGAUUUGAAUAGUUCAGUGUCCCAGCCAGAAUUGAAAAGCCUGAUAUCCAAGUCAGUCAGCCAAGAGAAGCAAGAAAAGGGAAGGGCUAACGUGGCCCAGCUGGAAGCUGUCCUCCUGGGACAGCCAGUUUGUGAGUGGCGGGGAGGAGUGUUUCCUCAUCAGUCAGUUUUGUUGUGAGGUCAGGAAGGAUGAGCAAGCACGUGGAGAAGGAGAACACCUACACCAGCAAGUUUUUUAGCAGGAAGGAGGAUUCUGAAAUGCUAGAAACUGAGCCAGUCGAGGAAGGGAAGCGCGGGGAGAGAGGCUGUGAGGCAGGGCUUCUGACCAGCGGUGGGGAGUUCCUCCUGAGCAAGCAGCUAGAGUCCAUAGGCACCCCGCGGCUCCACUGUCCAGUGAGAUCCCCACUUAAGUCCAUCCAGGCCGCGUUAACACCUUCCGCUAUGAAAUCUUCCCCUCAAAUCCCUCCCAAGACAUACAGCAGCAUUCUGAAACAUCUGAACCAAACACUCAGCAGACAUUCUCUUUGUUCUUCAUGAAGUGUGUUGUGUUUUUUAUCACUAAUGUUUUAAGUCAUUUUUUUUUUACUUGAAUCGGAAGGUGUCAUUAAUUUGCAAGGAUUUUUCUUGGUUCUCAGUUUGUAAGACACAGACUUUUUCUACAUGUGAGUUAGUUUUUAUUUGAACUGGCAUGUCGUUUGCACACACACAUACACACAAAGAAUAGAGCAAAACAAUGCAGUGCAGGAGGAGACAAGACGUGCUAGGAUGAAUAGACAUUCUCAUAGACCAGUGACCUGCUUUACAGGAAAGAAAACCUUGCCUUGAAACUUACACAGUGAGACUGUACAUAAUUGCAUGAAAAGAUCUAUUUUUUUCCUGAAACAUUUUUCAUUCAUUAGUAUUUUCAAGUUUUUCAUACUGUACACAUUUCUUAAGACACAUGAUAACAGCAGCAACUGAAAACGAAAGCCGAAUUUGGUACACAUGUGUCACCUACCUCAAGGUAACACAAGUAUGUGGUGAAACAUAACCCACCCAUAGUGCUCCAUGGCAUAUGCACUUCUAUUUAGCCAGCAUUUAUCAUACUAAACUAUUGAGACUCGUUCACCAUUUAUAAACGUUCUGGUGUUCAUUCUUUAUAGUGAAGUGUUAAAUACAUCACAUCUUAUUUAUUUUUAGCAAAUCAGUGUAUUUUCUGUAUUUAAUUAUAAAAGUUAACUUAGUUUUAAGUUUAUUUGCAACUGCCCUUCU
Molecule: RNA transcript, 3502 nt
Organism: Mastomys coucha (southern multimammate mouse)
Lineage: Eukaryota; Metazoa; Chordata; Mammalia; Rodentia; Muridae
Gene name: mitogen-activated protein kinase 6 pseudogene
Exons: 1
Source: RefSeq, a predicted model, not a curated record